GAUGAACGCUGACCGAAUGCUUAACACAUGCAAGUCAACUUGAACUUCGGUUUGGGUGGCGGACGGGUGAGUAACGCGUAAAGAACUUGCCUCACAGAUAGGGACAACAUUUGGAAACGAAUGCUAAUACCUGAUAUUAUGAUUAUAUGGCAUCGUAUAAUUAUGAAAGCUAUAUGCGCUGUGAGAGAGCUUUGCGUCCCAUUAGCUAGUUGGAGAGGUAACGGCUCACCAAGGCGAUGAUGGGUAGCCGGCCUGAGAGGGUGAUCGGCCACAAGGGGACUGAGACACGGCCCUUACUCCGACGGGAGGCAGCAGUGGGGAAUAUUGGACAAUGGACCAAGAGUCUGAUCCAGCAAUUCUGUGUGCACGAUGAAGUUUUUCGGAAUGUAAAGUGCUUUCAGUUGGGAAGAAAAAAAUGACGGUACCAACAGAAGAAGUGACGGCUAAAUACGUG
This 454-nucleotide ribosomal RNA is filed under the name uncultured bacterium. RNAcentral describes it as "partial 16S ribosomal RNA". It matches the Rfam family "Bacterial small subunit ribosomal RNA", at positions 28 to 507 of the family's 1533-position model. The record is from RNAcentral.